Molecule: long non-coding RNA, 719 nt
Organism: Gambusia affinis (western mosquitofish)
Lineage: Eukaryota; Metazoa; Chordata; Actinopteri; Cyprinodontiformes; Poeciliidae
Exons: 2
Source: RefSeq, a predicted model, not a curated record
GACGUUUUGUUUAAUUUCGAAUGUUUCAAAAUAUUUUCGGUCCAGUUUAAAUAAGCUUAUGAACAACUGGUUAACUGCUGCAGAAGAAACAUUCACAGAGUUUAAAGAAAUAAUCGUCAAAACGGAGGAAGAGAUGGAUGAUCAGCGCAGACUGCUAGAUUUUUCCCGGAUUCCCCAGAUAAUAUUACACCGAAUAGAUCGCCAACGACAUAACAUUUAUAAGGAGAAGCCAUGUGACCAGGAGAGGAGCUCCACUCUGGACCAGGAGGAGUUAGAACCUCUGCAGGGGAAUCAAGAACAGGAAGAGCCAGAGGAUCACAAACAUCAACAGAGAAAAGUGGGAGAGAAAGAAGUUGACUGCAGUCAGAGUGAAGAACAGGUUGCAUCAAAACAGGAGACUGAUACCUUAAUGGUGGCUACAGUUUAUGAGCAAACACACCACAAUCAAUCGGAACCAAACGGGAACCAAGUCAACUUCCAGGAAGCUGAGAACCAAAAUCAGGAGAGAAGCAAACCUUUCACAUGUGUCAUCUGUGAAAAACAUUUCACUACCAAAUAUGCUCUCAAUGAUCAUAUUAGAAUUCAUACUGGCGAAAAGCCGUUUUCAUGUGGGAAACGUGGACAAAGUUUUAUUCAAAAACAGGAUUUAACUCAGCACAUGAUGAUUCAUACUGGUAAAAAGCCGUUUUCAUGUGGGAACUGUGGACAAAGUUUCAGUC